This 501-nucleotide long non-coding RNA is filed under the name Panax ginseng (ginseng). RNAcentral describes it as "long non-coding RNA (PGIN_LNC009331)". Lineage: Eukaryota; Viridiplantae; Streptophyta; Magnoliopsida; Apiales; Araliaceae. The record is from RNAcentral.
UAAACCUUAGAAGACAGUAGAAUUCUUUCUCUACGUGACUCUUCUAAUGGAUUGCUGUUUCCGCUGCAUUUGUUGAUCUAAAACUUGUUGUCUAUUGUAUUCUAUUAGAUUUUUCCCUGUUGAAGACUAACGAUAAUUUGUUGUAUAUUAUCUUAGUCAUAAUAUUCUUUACUGGGCUAGUUGAGCUCACCCUUUUCCUUUUUGUUCCAUUUUUCUUCUCAGGAGGUGAGAACAUAGCAGGAUCGAGUCGGGGUAUGGAGUGAUGGUUCUAGGAAGAUGUUUUAGCUGUCCUCACUAUUUCUGUAAAAUAGUGUAUGAAUAAUUAAUGAGGACUUAUUUGGGUGUGUAUAUUAUCUAGAAGACAAUAUUUGUAUUCAAACUCACAGUUGUAUUGUCGUAUUCUACACGACAUCUGUAUUGUCAAAGUUGUAGUUUGCUUUCUAUACCAUGUAUUUUGGCGACUCAGAAUGGGUGUUGUAUACCUAUUUUGGGGGCGUCACA